Molecule: long non-coding RNA, 6591 nt
Filed under: Sus scrofa (pig)
Lineage: Eukaryota; Metazoa; Chordata; Mammalia; Artiodactyla; Suidae
Description: lncRNA (ENSSSCG00065016265.1)
Source: RNAcentral
UUUUUUUUUAUUUUUUAUUUUUUUUGUCUUUUUGCUAUUUCUUUGGGCUGCUCCCGCGGCAUAUGGAGGUUCCCAGGCUAGGGGUCAAAUCGGAGCUGUAGCCACCGGCCUACGCCAGAGCCACAGCAACGCGGGAUCUGAGCCACGUCUGCAACCUACACCACAGCUCACGGCAACGCAGGAUCAUUAACCCACUGAGCAAGGGCAGGGACCGAACCCGCAACCUCAUGGUUCCUAGUCAGAUAUCGUUAACCACUGCGCCAUGACGGGAACUCCGAAUAUAUUUUGUAACUUAGUGAAUAGUGUAUUGAAAGUGAGGAACAGAAUGGUUGUCUGGAUACAGAACGCUUGUCAGUAUACUAGUUGUUUACUCUGGUGAUUAUGUGGCUGACCAGGAGCUGUAGGUCCCUGGCCCGCCCAACAUCACAAGAGUGUAUUGUCCUGCAUAUAUAUCACACUAGCCUGCAAAAGGUCAAAAUUUAGAAUUCCAAGUAUGGUUGCUAUUGAAUGCAUACUGAUUUGGCACCAUCAUAAAACCGAAAAAUCGUAAGUUUAACCAUUUUAAGUUGGGGACCGUCUAUAUAUAAAAGAGGGCCUGUGUGUGUGCAAAAAUGUCCUGAAGGAGAGAAAAUCUGAUCUGAAUCUAGCAGAACUGCUACAUGUAAAAGAGGGUUGGGUGCAGGCUUAAAUGCAUCCUGAGGAUCAAGGAAACACAUUUAGUAUUUCCCCUGUUUUAACUGGACCAGAGAGUAAAAGCAUUCAACUUGUAUCUAAUAAGUUAAACACGAUUUCCUGGGCACUCACCAGUGCAUCCUAAUAUUGUUGACUAAGAAAAAUAACUGAAUAGACAUUUCUCCAAGGAAGAUAGAAAGAUGGCCAACAAGCACAUGAAACAAAGCUCAACAUCACUGAUUAUUAGAGAAAUGCAAAUCAAAACUACCAUGAGAUACCACCUCACACCAGUCAAAAUGGUCAUCAUUAAUAGUCCACAAAUAACAAAUGCUGGAGGGGGUGUGGAGAAAAGGGAACCCUCCUACACUGUUGGUGGGAAUGUAAGCUGGUACAACUAUUAUGGAGAACAGUAUGGAGGUACCUUAGAAAACUAUACAUAGAACUACUAUAUGACCCAGCAAUCCCACUUUUGGGCAUAUAUCCAGACAAAACUUUCCUUGAAAGACACAUGCACUUGCAUGUUCAUUGCAGCACUAUUCACAAUAGCCAAGACAUGGAAACAACCCAAAUGUCCAUUGACAGAUGACUGGAUUAGGAAGAUGUGAUAUAUAUACACAAUGAAAUGCUACUCAAAACAUGUAUGGAACUAGAGACUCUCAUACUGAGUGAAGUAAGUCAGAAAGAGAAAUACCAUAUGAUAUCACUUAUAUCUGGAAUCUAAUAUAUGGCACAAAUGAACCUUACCAAAGAAAAGAAAACCAUGGACUUGGAGAAUAGACUUAUGGUUGCCUGGGGGAAGGGGGAAGGGGUGGGAUGGAUUGGGAGCUUGGGGUUAAUAGAUGCAGACUAUUGCCUUUGGAAUGGAUUAGCAAUGAGAUCCUGCUGUGUAGCACUGGGAACUCUGUCUAGUCAUUAUGAUGGAGCAUGAUAAUGUGAAAAAAAAAUAAUGUAUACAUGUAUGUUUAACUGGGUCACCAUGCUGUAUAGUAGGACAAAAUGAUGUAUUGGGGAAUUAAAAAAAAUGAAAAAUAACUGAUUGCUCAUUCCCAGAGGAGAUAAAGUAGGGGUACAAGAGAAGACAAGGGUGAUCCAUUUGUGGAAGCCACAUUUUUCCCUCAGGCAAUAAUCAAAUAGUAACGUGAACAGAGAGUAAAAUGAGAGGAUCCUUGUGUGCUUUAAGAGGAGAUCUGUUUGAUGUUGGUCUGUUUUCAUGAGUUGCUACUUGCAAUUUUUUUUUAAGGCCAGUUACUGAAGGAUCUGGUAGGAGGGCUAGACAGAGGAUCUUGGAGACUUCCUCCCAAAUAAAAUCUCAAUCCAUGUUCUCUCAAUCAGUGAUGAGCAGCCAGUUACCAAGUGUGGCUAUUACAUCUCAAGUUCUUUCCAUAUAUUAUGAAAGAACCAAGAAUCCUAAAACAACCAAAGCAAAUAAGAUAAAAAGGCCUCUGAGAGCUUGAAGGAUCACAAAAUCAUAUGAACGUAAUACUAACGCUUAUGCUAAUCUAACACAAAAUACUAUUACAAACAUUAAUACCAAUACUUGCUAAACUGUAUUGAAUGCUUCCUAUGUUUUAGGCCCUGCACUGAGCACAGAAUCCUAGUGACUCAGCACAUCAUACUCAUCCUAUGAGCUAGUAUUAAUUUAUAUUUACUUUAUAGAUAUGAAAACUGGGGCUCAGAAAGAAUAAUUGACCUGUCCAAGAUCACACAGCUAGAAGGCAAUGAAACAAAGUCACCAACCCAGGCUUGUCCAGCUGCAAAGCCUUUUCCUUAUAAUAUCACUUCCCAAAAGUAAUUCGAGGGCUCAGUGACAUGUAUGUAAUGGCUGUGGGGAAUCUAGGGACUCUGACUCUUCAUGAAACUCAUCAUACCCUUGGAAUCCUUUGAAGUUUCCACUUUCCCCCUUUUGUCAUGGGUAGCCAUCUCACCAUGUCUCAGCCUUGCCCCUUUACUCUUCCUACAUUCAAGAAAGUGAGCAUCAGCUGGCCCUGGCUCUUUGCUGGUUCAUUCAGUGAGCACUGACUGAGCAUGUGCCAUGUGCCAAUGUUUUCUGAGGUCCUGGGAUAGUGGAGUGGACAAGGAGGGGAGGAAAUCAUUGGUUUAAGACUUGGCCAAUACUGCGCUGGCUAGAAUCACUAUGGCUCCUUAUGUACAGAGGACUUUCACAUGCCCCUUCUCCUAGGGUUCCCAGACAGAAAGCUCUGAUGGGAGAGCAGGCAGCCCAGCUCACAAAUGAAGACCAAGCCUCUUAGAGAGCUGAAGUGACUGGUCUAUUGUCAUGCUGCUUGCAGAAUCAGGGUUUGAUGCCAUCCAAGUGAUACCAUAUGGAGGGCUCAGCACUGCUCCUAUGUUCUGUCACUCCUUUUACUUCUUUUCCUCUUUCUCAUUCUCAUACACAUUUAACUUUGUCUGUGUUUUGUCUUUCUUCAUCUGUAAAAUGGGGAGAACAAUAGUGGCUAUUGGUUUGUUGUGAGGAUUAAGUAAAGUAAUACAUGUAAAAAUACUCAGAAUACUGAUGUACUAAUUAUGUAACAAUCAUUAAGUACUGGCACUUGUUACUACUGAUUGUUAGUUACUAGUAUUACUUUACUGCUAACACUAGUAUGCUGCUUUGAGUCCCACACAACAAAUAAAAAAUUAUAAAUAAAUCUGAAAAUACAUGCAAAUGAGCAUAAGCACUUGAUUAUAGAAUGGAAGUUUUGAGUAUUAUGGGGUAAAAAAGCAAUAUAAAAUAAAGAUUCCUAAUUUCAUUGUUUUUUAUACAUAGUUCUAACAGUUUAUAUUGCAGUAAUUCAGGCCACGAGGAGGGCUAAAAUGUAGACUAAAACUUUGACAAAUUCACAAAUGGGAAAGGUGGAGAGGCAGAUACAUAUCCAGGUGAGCAGGUUAAAAUAAGGCAAGGGCUAUAACUGCCCUUGGGGUUAGGAAGGAGGAGGAGAGGGGGAAAGAGAGAAGAGAAGAAAUUUCUUUUUACUGAGCCCGCUAACACACACAUGCAAUUUAAUUCUAAUAGCUGUCAUGUGAGAUAGGUGGUAUUACCCCACUUUGAAAAUGAGAGCAGAGGGACUCAAAAAGUUAAACAACUUGUCAUAGAAUGGAAUGGAAUGGAAUUUUAACACAGUGAUUUUACUCCAAAGCCCAUACUUUUUCUGUCUCACCAACAAUAACAUCAUUAAUCUGGGGAGGGUUGUGGGAGAACAGCUUGUGACUUCUCCCUCCUCUGAGUUCUUAGAUCAUGUGGUAUCUUUAAUUUACACACACACUUAUGCACAGCACUCAUACAGAACACCAUUGGGUUAUUUGCACACCUGAGUGAUCUCUGCAAUUAGGCUGUAAGCCCAUUGAAGGCAUGUUUGGAGCUUAGCAUAUGGUCUUGUGCAUGGUAAGUGUUUAUUGAAUAACCUAGUGGAGGAGAGAGAUUGUUAUGUGCAAGGCUUGAGAGGAGGCAAUGGUUGCUUUUGACCAAAGUAAAGCCAAGCUAGCACCUCUGAGAAUGUCCUCAGUGUGUAGAACCCUUUGGAAGCCACAUUUAAGCUUCAAGUUGCCACCCUUGGACAUAGGUGAUUUCAUUAAGUCUGGAUCACUUACUGAAGCUGGGCGGUUUGGAUUCUUUUCUAAUAACUAGGGACUAUGACCAGGAGAUUUAGUUUGGGUUGGUCUCUUAGAGAAAGGGGAUAUAAAAACUCUGGAAUGGUAGGCUGGUCGUUUUCUGCCUGAGAAGUGGAGAGAAGAAUGAAGCAGAUAUUCAGAAAGAUAACAUAGCCUGGUGGAGAAGUCACUAGAUUUCUGCAGAGUGAUGCACAAAAAGGGAUAUUGUUGGGACCAUGGAACUAGAUCGUUAGAGUCCAUACCCUGGUUCUGUCUCCUAUAGUCAGUGUGACUGUGGGAACAUAGUGUAACCUUCCUAUACCCAUUUCCCCCUUUAUAAAAUGAGAAUAGUAGUACCUCCCUUAGGAUCCCAUGUCACCUGCUUUAGCACAGUGUUGAACACAUGAUACUCCCUCUUUGAAUUGCAGCUAUUGUUUUAAGGUUGUACAUCCAUUUUAUUCUGCUGGGUUUUUCAUCUGUAUGUUUCUGGCAUCUUGGAUACCUUUUCUUACUCAUUUACAAACUCUCAGAGGCAGGCUUGCUACUUGCACCACAAAGCAAAUCAAAGUCCUCUCAGAUGCCAGUGGAGAAACCAGUCUCUCAGCAGCUUUGGCCUGAGCAUACUGAUCAGCUAUGAGCCAGAAACACACACGUGUCUUUUCAGAGGUGAUACCCCAGGCCCCAGCACAUUUCAAAGCACAGGCCUUUCUCUUCUAUGGAGAAGGGAUUCUGCUUAUUUUUCUCUCUGAUUCUUGGGGCUUCUUAUUAGUUUGGUGCAGGGCUGGGGAUAUUAGUGUCCUCUUGUUGUCAAGAACAUUCUCCAAAGUCAUGAAUAAUCAUGUUGUCAUGCCUGUGUGACUUAAAAUAUAAAAGGUGCAAUUUGUGCAAGUUUUAAAGUUACUUUUUCAAAAGAGUUCAACUAGUGAAGCUGUCAGACUGUCAGAAUGUAAGCACAAGAGCAGAUCCUUAGCUGUUGCUUAUGAAUUUUCAAAGGACUUUAGCACAUUUUUAAUUGGAUUUCUUCCUCCUAGCCUUCAAAUCAAUGUUGUUUGGCUAUUACUUCCGUUAAGUGGGGGUGACAAAAUAUAAUGCUGGGUUGGUGGGAGGGGUGGGUGGAAAGCUUGCUUCACUUAAGGUUACCUUCUAGGUCCAAGGCUAUUUAUUGGCCAGUGUCUUGGUUUCUCAGAGAACGAAUAAUCUUAUUUAUUUAAUUUUUUAAAGAAAGGUGAAGAAAGGAGAGGGAUGCCAUCUAGCCUAGAUGUGCACAAAGUUUCUUAAUAACAGCUUCUAUUUUCAUAGCUCUUCUCAGAGUACUUAAACAUACCAAGAUUUACCUGACCCCCCCCCCCCCCAACAAGGGUAUUUAUUCUCCUUCUCUUACGUAUGUGUAAGCAGAUUCUAAGUCUUGGGGGGACCCUUGUUUCCUAUGUCUCUCAAUUCAUGAGGAGGGACUCUUCCUAGAAAAACACUUUUGGUUCCUUAUCACCAUCUCACUCCUCCCCAAGAAAGAGGGCUGACUUUGGUGAGUUUGAGAGAAAGAAGUGGGCCUGGGAAGCUUGGUACCUUGUUCUUCGCUCAGAACAGCCCACCCACAGAAGGGGUGCACUGGUUGGUUCUCUUGGUCAUGCUGAGACUUCUGUGGUAAAGACUUGUCCCUGGUGAGGUCACGUCUGUGGGCAAUGGGAUGGGCGAUGUUCUUAAAUGCGCUUUGCAGCACAUCUUAACAUAGUUUUCAUCAUUAAUAAGGCUGAUAUUUUAGUUUCCAACUAUCUGACUCCUGGGAUUAUCUCUUAAUUUAAACCAUGUGGGAUGGAGGGUACAGUCUAGAAAGUGUUAUUUUUCAGUCCCUAUUAACACAGAUAAGGAGAAUCAAAUCCAAGAUUAAAUAAGUCAAUAAUUAUGAUUUUUUUAAAUUUAUCCCCCACAUACUUAUUGGGUGUCUACUAAGUGUUUGGGCAUAGGUUCUAAAAUGAGUUCUCAUCAAGCAUAUUUUAAUGUUGAAAGGCAUUCAACAAUUAAAUCCUCAAUUGUAAAAGGACUAGGCAAAGAAGUACAUAAUGCUUGGAGAAUAUAUGACAGUGGUCCUGACACAGUCUGGAAAUUGAAGGUUGUCUUCUCUGAGCCCUGGGACAUAAAUUGGACUCUGAGAGAUAAGCAGGUGGAGACUGGCCAAAGCAUUUCUGCAAAGAAGGCUAAAAAUAAUCCUAGUACAAGGUACCUGGGAACCUGAAAGGAAGCAGGUGUGGUUGAAACAGAAGAAUGGAACUGGGGCACAUGGCAAGAUGGAGCUGGCAAGGUAGGCCAAUUGCACAGGGUCUUGUGGGUCGGAUUAAG